This 975-nucleotide ribosomal RNA is filed under the name Psychrobacter sp. RNAcentral describes it as "bacterial SSU rRNA". It matches the Rfam family "Bacterial small subunit ribosomal RNA", at positions 60 to 1028 of the family's 1533-position model. Lineage: Bacteria; Pseudomonadati; Pseudomonadota; Gammaproteobacteria; Moraxellales; Moraxellaceae. The record is from RNAcentral.
AGUCGAGCGGAAACGAUGAUAGCUUGCUAUCAGGCGUCGAGCGGCGGACGGGUGAGUAAUACUUAGGAAUCUACCUAGUAGUGGGGGAUAGCACGGGGAAACUCGUAUUAAUACCGCAUACGACCUACGGGAGAAAGGGGGCAGUUUACUGCUCUCGCUAUUAGAUGAGCCUAAGUCGGAUUAGCUAGAUGGUGGGGUAAAGGCCUACCAUGGCGACGAUCUGUAGCUGGUCUGAGAGGAUGAUCAGCCACACCGGGACUGAGACACGGCCCGGACUCCUACGGGAGGCAGCAGUGGGGAAUAUUGGACAAUGGGGGAAACCCUGAUCCAGCCAUGCCGCGUGUGUGAAGAAGGCCUUUUGGUUGUAAAGCACUUUAAGCAGUGAAGAAGACUCUUCGGUUAAUACCCGGAGACGAUGACAUUAGCUGCAGAAUAAGCACCGGCUAACUCUGUGCCAGCAGCCGCGGUAAUACAGAGGGUGCAAGCGUUAAUCGGAAUUACUGGGCGUAAAGGGAGCGUAGGUGGCUCGAUAAGUCAGAUGUGAAAUCCCCGGGCUCAACCUGGGAACUGCAUCUGAUACUGUUGAGCUAGAGUAUGUGAGAGGAAGGUAGAAUUCCAGGUGUAGCGGUGAAAUGCGUAGAGAUCUGGAGGAAUACCGAUGGCGAAGGCAGCCUUCUGGCAUAAUACUGACACUGAGGCUCGAAAGCGUGGGUAGCAAACAGGAUUAGAUACCCUGGUAGUCCACGCCGUAAACGAUGUCUACUAGUCGUUGGGUCCCUUGAGGACUUAGUGACGCAGCUAACGCAAUAAGUAGACCGCCUGGGGAGUACGGCCGCAAGGUUAAAACUCAAAUGAAUUGACGGGGGCCCGCACAAGCGGUGGAGCAUGUGGUUUAAUUCGAUGCAACGCGAAGAACCUUACCUGGUCUUGACAUAUCUAGAAUCCUGCAAAGAUGCGGGAGUGCCUUCGCGAAUU